UGACCACACCACCAGAAUCAGCCAGAACUACCCUCUGGCAAAAAGAAUGGGAGAAACUAGGCAACAGAGCUGUUGAAUGGAGUUGGCAAGGAAUUACCCCCAGUGAGAAGUUAGUAUCUAGCUCCAACUACAAAUGGCAUACAGGGCAGAG
Molecule: long non-coding RNA, 151 nt
Organism: Gavialis gangeticus (Gharial)
Lineage: Eukaryota; Metazoa; Chordata; Crocodylia; Gavialidae
Exons: 3
Source: RefSeq, a predicted model, not a curated record